This 402-nucleotide ribosomal RNA is filed under the name uncultured bacterium. RNAcentral's name for it is "bacterial SSU rRNA". It matches the Rfam family "Bacterial small subunit ribosomal RNA", at positions 355 to 774 of the family's 1533-position model. The record is from RNAcentral.
UUGGGAAUCUUGGACAAUGGGGGAAACCCUGAUCCAGCCAUGCCGCGUGAGUGAUGAAGGCCUUAGGGUUGUAAAGCUCUUUCGCACGCGACGAUAAUGACGGUAGCGUGAGAAGAAGCCCCGGCUAACUUCGUGCCAGCAGCCGCGGUAAUACGAAGGGGGCUAGCGUUGUUCGGAAUUACUGGGCGUAAAGCGCGCGCAGGCGGGUCAUCAAGUCAGAGGUGAAAGCCCGGAGCUUAACUCCGGAAUAGCCUUUGAAACUGUUGAUCUUGAGUACGGGAGAGGUGAGUGGAAUUCCCAGUGCAGAGGUGAAAUUCGUAGAUAUUGGGAAGAACACCAGUGGCGAAGGCGGCUCACUGGCCCGUUACUGACGCUCAGGCGCGAUAGCGUGGGGAGCAAACA